AUGGCCACGGCAAUGGACGCCGGCGUGCUGCACCCCGGCGCCAUCGUGGUGACGGUCGUGGCAUUGGCCUCGGCGUACAUGGUGUGGUUCUGGGCGCUGUCGAGGCGGCUGUCGGGGCCCCCGAUGUGGCCGCUGGUGGGCAGCCUCCCCAGCGUCGUGGUGAACCGGAAGCGGGUCCACGACUGGAUCGCCGACAACCUGCGCGCCACGGGCGAGGCGGCGACGUACCAGACGUGCAUCCUGCCGCUGCCGUUCCUGGCGCGGCGGCAGGGGCUGGUGACGGUGACGUGCAACCCGCGGAACCUGGAGCACAUCCUGCGCGCGCGCUUCGACAACUACCCCAAGGGCCCCAUGUGGCAGGCGGCGUUCCACGACCUCCUCGGCCAGGGCAUCUUCAACUCCGACGGCGAGACGUGGCUGCUCCAGCGCAAGACGGCGGCGCUCGAGUUCACCACCCGGACCAUGGCGCGCUGGGCCAACCGCUCCAUCAAGGACCGCCUGUGGCGCAUCCUAGCCGACCACUGCCACGCCGCCGCCAGCGUCGACCUCCAGGACCUCCUCCUGCGCCUCACCUUCGACAACAUCUGCGGCCUCACCUUCGGCAAGGACCCCGAGACGCUGUCGCCGGGCUUGACGGAGAACCCCUUCGCCAACGCCUUCGACGAGGCCACCUUGGCGACCAUGCAGAGGUUUCUGUUCCCCAGCUUCCUGUGGCGGAUCAAGAAGGCGCUGGGCAUCGGCAGCGAGCAGAGCCUCCGCAAGAGCCUCGCGGUGGUGGACCAGUUCAUGACGGAGACCAUCGCGGCGCGCAAGGCCACGCCGUCGGACGACCUGCUGUCCCGGUUCAUGAAGAAGCGCGACAGCAACGGCAAGGCGUUCCCGGAGGACGUGCUGCAGUGGAUCGCGCUCAACUUCCUGCUCGCGGGCCGCGACACGUCGUCCGUCGCGCUCAGCUGGUUCUUCUGGACGGUCAUGCAGAGGCCGGACGUGGAGCGCAAGGUGCUCCUCGAGAUCGCGUCCGUGCUCAGGGAGACGCGCGGCGACGACACGGGGAGGUGGGCGGAGGAGCCGCUGGACUUCGACGAGCUGGACCGCCUCGUGUACCUCAAGGCGGCAUUGUCGGAGACGCUGCGCCUGUACCCGUCGGUGCCGCAGGACUCCAAGUACGUGGUGGCCGACGACGUGCUCCCCGACGGCACCGUGGUGCCAGCCGGCUCGGCGAUCACCUACUCCAUCUACUCGGUGGGGAGGAUGGAGAGCAUAUGGGGGAAGGACUGCGUGGAGUUCCGGCCGGAGCGGUGGCUGUCGGCGGACGGCAGCCGCUUCGAGCCCGUCAAGGACGCGUACCGCUUCGUGGCGUUCAACGGCGGGCCGAGGACGUGCCUCGGCAAGGACCUCGCCUACCUGCAGAUGAAGUCCAUCGCGUCGGCGGUGCUGCUGCGCCACUCGGUGGAGCUCGUGCCGGGGCACCAGGUGGAGCAGAAGAUGUCGCUCACCCUGUUCAUGAAGAACGGGCUCCGCGUGAACGUCAAGCCAAGGGACCUCGCCGACUGCGUCGCGCCGCCGCCGGAGGAGGCGCCGCCACUGGGGUCAGUCGUGAUCCCAACCACCACUGCCGCCGCUGCAUAG
This 1629-nucleotide ribosomal RNA is filed under the name Triticum aestivum (bread wheat). Its description in RNAcentral is "partial small subunit ribosomal RNA". The record is from RNAcentral. Lineage: Eukaryota; Viridiplantae; Streptophyta; Magnoliopsida; Poales; Poaceae.